CAGUCGCCGCGGUAAUACAGAGGGUGCGAGCGUUAAUCAGAUUUACUGGGCGUAAAGCGUGCGUAGGCGGCUUUUUAAGUCGGAUGUGAAAUCCCUGAGCUUAACUUAGGAAUUGCAUUCGAUACUGGGAAGCUAGAGUAUGGGAGAGGAUGGUAGAAUUCCAGGUGUAGCGGUGAAAUGCGUAGAGAUCUGGAGGAAUACCGAUGGCGAAGGCAGCCAUCUGGCCUAAUACUGACGCUGAGGUACGAAAGCAUGGGGAGCAAACAGGAUUAGAUACCCCGGUAGUCCCUGUCUCUUAUAC
Molecule: ribosomal RNA, 301 nt
Filed under: uncultured bacterium
Lineage: Bacteria
Description: partial 16S ribosomal RNA
Rfam family: Bacterial small subunit ribosomal RNA
Source: RNAcentral